UGGGGAAUAUUGGACAAUGGGCGAAAGCCUGAUCCAGCAACGCCGCGUGAGGGAUGACGGCCUUCGGGUUGUAAACCUCUUUCAGUAGGGACGAAGCGCAAGUGACGGUACCUACAGAAGAAGCACCGGCCAACUACGUGCCAGCAGCCGCGGUAAUACGUAGGGUGCGAGCGUUGUCCGGAAUUAUUGGGCGUAAAGGGCUCGUAGGCGGUCUGUUGCGUCGGGAGUGAAAACUCAGGGCUUAACCCUGAGCCUGCUUCCGAUACGGGCAGACUAGAGGUAUGCAGGGGAGAACGGAAUUCCUGGUGUAGCGGUGAAAUGCGCAGAUAUCAGGAGGAACACCGGUGGCGAAGGCGGUUCUCUGGGCAUUACCUGACGCUGAGGAGCGAAAGUGUGGGGAGCGAACA
RNAcentral lists this ribosomal RNA (407 nucleotides) under uncultured bacterium. Its description in RNAcentral is "partial 16S ribosomal RNA". It matches the Rfam family "Bacterial small subunit ribosomal RNA", at positions 355 to 774 of the family's 1533-position model. The record is from RNAcentral. RNAcentral also lists the same sequence under 1 other name.